This 505-nucleotide ribosomal RNA is filed under the name uncultured soil bacterium. RNAcentral's name for it is "bacterial SSU rRNA". It matches the Rfam family "Bacterial small subunit ribosomal RNA", at positions 26 to 524 of the family's 1533-position model. The record is from RNAcentral.
AGAGUGAACGCUGGCGGUAGGCCUAACACAUGCAAGUCGAACGGCAGCACAGUAGGAGCUUGCUCUUACGGGUGGCGAGUGGCGGACGGGUGAGGAAUACAUCGGAAUCUACCUUUUGGUGGGGGAUAACGUAGGGAAACUUACGCUAAUACCGCAUACGCCCUUCGGGGGAAAGCCGGGGAUCGCAAGACCUGGCGCGGAUAGAUGAGCCGAUGUCGGAUUAGCUAGUUGGUGAGGUAAUGGCUCACCAAGGCGACGAUCCGUAGCUGGUCUGAGAGGAUGAUCAGCCACACUGGAACUGAGACACGGUCCAGACUCCUACGGGAGGCAGCAGUGGGGAAUAUUGGACAAUGGGCGCAAGCCUGAUCCAGCCAUACCGCGUGGGUGAAGAAGGCCUUCGGUUGUAAAGCCUUUGUUGGAAGAAAGUAUCGGUUAAUACCCGGUGUUCUGAGGUACCCAAAGAAUAAGACAACCGGCUAAACUCGUAGCCAGCAGCCGCGGUAAU